This is a long non-coding RNA of Ceratitis capitata (Mediterranean fruit fly), 1474 nucleotides long. RefSeq lists it as uncharacterized. The transcript has 3 exons. NCBI's taxonomy places the organism in Eukaryota, Metazoa, Arthropoda, Insecta, Diptera, Tephritidae. The record is from RefSeq and is a predicted model, not a curated record.
UAUCAAACGUUUACCAUCAAAGCGCCGUUACAUGUCAGUUUCCGUUCACAGUUGCGAAAAUUAUUUGCGGGCUAAUGAAAAAUGUAUAAAUUUGCAUUUUCCAUUUGAAAUUUAGGGCGAGAAUUAUGUCAAUGAUUGUGGUGCUUAGAGCGAAAAUGCAAGUGGCGCGAUUUAGUGAUUUCAAAGCACAGUGUGUUGGAAAAGCUAUGUUUAGGCUGUAGUUGGAAUAUAAGUUUUUCGUUAGAGCCAACGCCAAUUGAAUGACUAAAUCGUGUGAGAUCAGGAUCAUAUGUCGAAAAGAAGUGUUUACAACAACCAGAAAGAAGAAUAUGUAAUGUCAAUGAUUGUUUUUAACAUUUCUGAUUGAAUGCUGUACCAGUUUAAGCUUCUACUGAGACGAAGAAAAGGCUAUACUUUCUGUACAGGCGCGAGCAUCUUUACGAAACUAAAUCCAAUAGUAAUAAACUAACCAACUUAUUCACAAUUCCCAACACCAAUAAAAGCAACAGGAACUAAUUCAAUAAAAAGUUAAACAUAUGUAUCUACUACAUUGACCACACAACACUCAAAUACCACCAACUUAACUUCGUCUGUAGUCGACAUACGUGUAGUCAUAUAAGUUCAUAUACAUAUAUCGACAUGAAAGAGUGUUUCAAUUUGUUAACACGCCAAGUAAACAAACUAACAGCCAGGAAAAAACACCAUUUCGUUUCGCUCCACUUGACGAGCGAUAAAAAAUUAACAAACUAUAAUUGUCAGUUGCUUAUUUACUGAAGGAGUGUUGGUACUAAAUAUAAGAUAUUUAAACUCCUGCUUGCAGAGCAUCAAUAGAUUGACUAGAACGGUGAGUUUGAAGAACUCAUUGGUGUCUUACUACUCUAUCAUCACAGGGUUUGGAAAGCAAUUACGUCAGAAUAACCGAAAGCGGGCACCUCAUUUAAUGGAAUUUUUACAUUAAGCUCUUCACAAAUUUAUCCUCGGAAGCCUUGGUGAAAGCAUGCCGUUCCGUUCUUCACAAAUUAUAAGAACAGGGCUGAAAAUCAGAAGUGGGAUAUUAAGUCACUUUCAUCAACAAUGGUUACAUGAAAUGGUUUUGGAACAAGUAUCCUUGCCUAUAUUAGAAAGUCCCCACAGCUUGAUUUCUGAUUUAGUUUAUCAAAAGAAAAAUAAAAGGCAUUGUGAUAUUUACUUUUAAAAUCUUCAAUGUCAAUGCCGCCAUUUGUAGCAGAGAAAAAAAGAGCAGUCUCCAUUUAUUGGUUUAUGAAUUCAAUAUCAAGAUCCUUACAAACUGAAGUCUGCAAUGACGUUAUUCAGGAAAGGCAGUUAAAUAAUAUAUUUGAAAUAAAUAUCAUAGUAUUUGUAAGAAGUUUCGCUGAAUAUGCCUCAAUGAUUUCCCAAACCCUACUAGUUCGAUAAGUGGAUUGUUAAAUAAGAAAACAACAAAUAAUUUUUAUUUAUUACUCAAUAAUUGUGC